CCCUUAGAUGUCCUGGGCCGCACGCGCGUUACACUGAUGCAUUCAACGAGCUUAUAACCUUGGCCGAGAGGCCUGGGCAAUCUUGUUAACGUGCAUCGUGAUAGGGAUAGAUUAUUGAAAUUAUUAAUCUUGAACGAGGAAUUCCUAGUAAACGCAGAUCAUCAAUCUGCAUUGAUUACGUCCCUGCCCUUUGUACACACCGCCCGUCGCACCUACCGAUUGGAUGGUCCGGUGAAGCCUCGGAAUUGUGGUUCUUGCCGCUUUAUUGUGGCGUGACCGCGAGAACUUGUCUAAACCUUAUCAUCUAGAGGAAGGUGAAGUCGUAACA
RNAcentral lists this ribosomal RNA (328 nucleotides) under uncultured eukaryote. RNAcentral's name for it is "partial 18S ribosomal RNA". It matches the Rfam family "Eukaryotic small subunit ribosomal RNA", at positions 1470 to 1796 of the family's 1831-position model. The record is from RNAcentral.